GAAGCAGAAUUCACCAAG
This 18-nucleotide non-coding RNA is filed under the name Arabidopsis thaliana (thale cress). The record is from RNAcentral. Lineage: Eukaryota; Viridiplantae; Streptophyta; Magnoliopsida; Brassicales; Brassicaceae. RNAcentral also lists the same sequence under 1 other name.